CUGCCUAUAAAUAUGGAGCAUCGUCCACUUUUCAACAACAAUAAAUUAUCAUUCAAUAUAUACAUGACAUAAUUGUUCAAAUAUCUUUUCAUUUAUUACAUAAUUCUUAUUACAAGAGUCCAUAACGCUUCCGCACCAAAAUUGAUUUCAGAACAAGGAAAUUGCCUUACUCUGAUGGCCAACGACGGUCCUGGUGGCAGUCGAAUCGCCAACGACGAACGGAGGCUUGACAAACUCAAACAACAAAUCGAGGAGAUCGACGAAAUCCUUUACAACAUCACACAGAUGCUGAUUGUGUUAAGUUUUGAAAGGAAUUGUUAGCUCAUGGAGAAGCGAGCUAACAAGAAUUUGUAGAUUUUAACUGCAUUGAAUGUUAGUUGUUUCAACAAGCACAGGACACGACAACAUGUAGCUAAAGAAUUUCCUCGAGUCCCAGCCAAGUUCAAAAUAAAAAAGUUAUUAAUGAUCAUUUUCUUCAACAAAACUCGAGGACGAGUUUUUCUUCACGUGGAGGGAAUUGAUGUAGUACAACUACAAUUCCUACUACUAGGAUGUUUUAUAUUUUAGGAAUUUGAUUUCCUUUUAGUUUUCUUGUAUUAGAACUCUUUUUAUUAGGAUUAUAGUUUUUAGAAGGUUAAUUAGAACAGAG
Molecule: long non-coding RNA, 649 nt
Filed under: Olea europaea subsp. europaea
Lineage: Eukaryota; Viridiplantae; Streptophyta; Magnoliopsida; Lamiales; Oleaceae
Source: RNAcentral